UUGAUCCUGGCUCAGAAUCAACGCUGGCGGCGUGCCUAACACAUGCAAGUCGAACGCGAAAACCCCGAAAGGGGUGAGUAGAGUGGCAAACGGGUGAGUUACACGUGGGUGACCUGCCUUCGAGUGGGGGAUAACGUCCCGAAAGGGACUCUAAUACCGCAUAAUAUCCUGCCUUUGAAGAGGUGGCGAUCAAAGCUGGUGACCGCAAGGCCCAGCGCUCAAAGAGGGGCCCGCGCCUGAUUAGCUAGUUGGUGGGGUAAUGGCUCACCAAGGCAACGAUCAGUAUCCGGCCUGAGAGGUCGGACGGACACACUGGGACUGAGACACGGCCCAGACUCCUACGGGAGGCUGCAGUGGGGAAUUGUUCGCAAUGGGCGCAAGCCUGACGACGCAACGCCGUGUGGAGGAUGAAGACCUUCGGGUCGUAAACUCCUUUCGAUCGAGACGAAUGGCCCUAGGGUUAACAGCCUUGGGGAAUGACGGUACCGAGAGAAGAAGCUCCGGCUAACUCCGUGCCAGCAGCCGCGGUAAUAAGGU
Molecule: ribosomal RNA, 537 nt
Filed under: uncultured Acidobacteriota bacterium
Lineage: Bacteria; Pseudomonadati; Acidobacteriota
Description: bacterial SSU rRNA
Rfam family: Bacterial small subunit ribosomal RNA
Source: RNAcentral